Molecule: ribosomal RNA, 528 nt
Filed under: uncultured bacterium
Lineage: Bacteria
Description: bacterial SSU rRNA
Rfam family: Bacterial small subunit ribosomal RNA
Source: RNAcentral
CUUGACAUCCAGCGAACUUGGCAGAGAUGCCUUGGUGCCUUCGGGAACGCUGAGACAGGUGCUGCAUGGCUGUCGUCAGCUCGUGUUGUGAAAUGUUGGGUUAAGUCCGCAACGAGCGCAACCCUUAUCCUUUGUUGCCAGCGAUUCGGUCGGGAACUCAAAGGAGACCGCCGGUGAUAAACCGGAGGAAGGUGGGGAUGACGUCAAGUCAUCAUGGCCCUUACGAGUAGGGCUACACACGUGCUACAAUGGCGCAUACAAAGAGAAGCGACCUCGCGAGAGCAAGCGGACCUCAUAAAGUGCGUCGUAGUCCGGAUCGGAGUCUGCAACUCGACUCCGUGAAGUCGGAAUCGCUAGUAAUCGUGGAUCAGAAUGCCACGGUGAAUACGUUCCCGGGCCUUGUACACACCGCCCGUCACACCAUGGGAGUGGGUUGCAAAAGAAGUAGGUAGCUUAACCUUCGGGAGGGCGCUUACCACUUUGUGAUUCAUGACUGGGGUGAAGUCGUAACAAGGUAAGCGUAGCGAG